Molecule: non-coding RNA, 28 nt
Organism: Chania multitudinisentens RB-25
Lineage: Bacteria; Pseudomonadati; Pseudomonadota; Gammaproteobacteria; Enterobacterales; Yersiniaceae
Source: Rfam
GUUCACUGCCGCACAGGCAACUUAGAAA